Molecule: ribosomal RNA, 404 nt
Filed under: uncultured bacterium
Lineage: Bacteria
Description: partial 16S ribosomal RNA
Rfam family: Bacterial small subunit ribosomal RNA
Source: RNAcentral
GAUGAACGCUGGCAGAAUGCUUAACACAUGCAAGUCAACUGUGGCUGACUGGUGAGUAACGCGUAGAGAACUUGCCUCACAGAUAGGGACAACAUUGGGAAACGAAUGCUAAUCUCUGAUACUGUGAGAGAGCUUUGCGUCCCAUUGGCUAGUUGGGGAGGGAACGGCUCACCAAGGCGAUGAUGGGUAGCCGGCCUGGGAGGUUGAGCGGCGACAAGGGGACUGCGGAACGGACCUUACGCCAACUGGAGACAGCGGUGGGGAAUAUUGGACAACUGACCAAAGUCUGAUCCAGCAAUUCUGUGUGGAAGAUUAAGUUGUCGGAAUAUAAAGUGCUUUCAGAUGAGAAGCGGUACCAACAGAAGAAGUGACGGCCAACUACGUGCCAGCAGCCGCGGUAAUAC